RNAcentral lists this ribosomal RNA (439 nucleotides) under Pseudoramibacter alactolyticus. Its description in RNAcentral is "bacterial SSU rRNA". It matches the Rfam family "Bacterial small subunit ribosomal RNA", at positions 28 to 450 of the family's 1533-position model. Lineage: Bacteria; Bacillati; Bacillota; Clostridia; Eubacteriales; Eubacteriaceae. The record is from RNAcentral.
GACGAACGCUGGCGGUAUGCUUAACACAUGCAAGUCGAACGAGAAGUUUUUUAUUGAACCUUCGGGGGAUAUAAGAGACAGACAGUGGCGAACGGGUGAGUAACGCGUGGGCAACCUACCUAUCGGAGCGGGAUAGCCUCGAGAAAUCGGGAGUAAAACCGCAUAACACGGAUAUAUCGCAUGAUGAAUCCGUCAAAACUCCGGUGCCGAUAGAUGGGCCCGCGUCUGAUUAGCUAGUUGGUAAGGUAAGGGCUUACCAAGGCAACGAUCAGUAGCCGGUGUGAGAGGGCGAACGGCCACACUGGAACUGAGACACGGUCCAGACUCCUACGGGAGGCAGCAGUGGGGAAUAUUGCGCAAUGGGGGCAACCCUGACGCAGCAAUACCGCGUGAGUGAAGAAGGUUUUCGGAUCGUAAAGCUCUGUUAUUGGGAAGAAGC